Molecule: ribosomal RNA, 497 nt
Filed under: uncultured bacterium
Lineage: Bacteria
Description: partial 16S ribosomal RNA
Rfam family: Bacterial small subunit ribosomal RNA
Source: RNAcentral
GAUGAACGCUGGCGGCGUGCCUAAUACAUGCAAGUCGAGCGAACAGACGAGGAGCUUGCUCCUCUGACGUUAGCGGCGGACGGGUGAGUAACACGUGGAUAACCUACCUAUAAGACUGGGAUAACUUCGGGAAACCGGAGCUAAUACCGGAUAAUAUAUUGAACCGCAUGGUUCAAUAGUGAAAGACGGUUUUGCUGUCACUUAUAGAUGGAUCCGCGCCGCAUUAGCUAGUUGGUAAGGUAACGGCUUACCAAGGCAACGAUGCGUAGCCGACCUGAGAGGGUGAUCGGCCACACUGGAACAGAGACACGGUCCAGACUCCUACGGGAGGAAGCAGUAGGGAAUGUUACGCAAUGGGCGAAAGCCUGCCGGAGCAACGCCGCGUGAGUGAUGAAGGUCUUCGGAUCGUAAAACUCUGUUAUUAGGGAAGAACAAAUGUGUAAGUAACUAUGCACGUAUUGACGGUACCUAAUCAGAAAGCCACGGCUAACUACGUG